AUCCAACUGACGAGUCUCAAAUAGGACGAAACGCGCAUCCUGGAU
Schistosoma mansoni is the source of this 45-nucleotide non-coding RNA. The record is from Rfam. Lineage: Eukaryota; Metazoa; Platyhelminthes; Trematoda; Strigeidida; Schistosomatidae.